RNAcentral lists this long non-coding RNA (1395 nucleotides) under Durio zibethinus. RNAcentral describes it as "long non-coding RNA (DZIB_LNC001971)". Lineage: Eukaryota; Viridiplantae; Streptophyta; Magnoliopsida; Malvales; Malvaceae. The record is from RNAcentral.
UAGACCCUAAAACGGGUCAACAGGAGCACAGGUCAAAACUUUUCUUGCCGAAUGGCUGUUUAGGUUAGAAAGCAAAAUCAUCUUUUCCCUUUUAUUUCCCACGGCUACUCUCUAAAGUUUCAACUUUCCUCUGAAACUUCUUCCUCAAGAACAAAGCCCAAACACCAGUGACCUUUCCCUAGAAUUCGACGUCGAUUCACUAUUGAUCUCACUAUUCCUUAUUUUCCUCUUUCUCUUUUUUCUAAGUUUCUAAACUUUCCAACAACCAAGAACCUGUAACAAGAAAAUGAACAAGCCUAGAAACCAUCAAAUAUCACUACUAGAAUCCUGCGUUAAUUCGCCGUGCACCACCACCAUCUAUGCCACUACUCUCUGUUGAAACCACAAAAAAACUUCCUACCACAAAACCCAAAAACAAGACCUAAAUCGAAACCUUAAAAAAAUCCCUUUAUUACCAACUUCUUGCCUUUUUAUGAUUUUGGAUUGCUACUAAUUGAUUGUGAUUGUGAAUGGGUUCUUAUUUUUGGGUUCAAGUUAGUUGAUUUUUGGGUUUAAUGGGUUGAAACCCUCGAUCACUAUCUUGUGUAUGUUGAAUGUGUCAAUUCUGGGUUGGUUAAGUUUCGAUUUUUCUGUAUGAUUUUCUAGGUGUUGCUUCUUGAAAUUGGAUUGCUUGUGAGCUUGGUUCUGGGGUGGGUAUGAUUUUUUGUUUUAGUUUGGGAUUAAUGGCUUUCAAUUUGUGUUUGCUUCGUAUGGGUUUGGUAUGGUUGUGCUGUGAUUAUGGCUCUCUAUUUGGAAGAGUUCGGGAUGGGUUCGGUUUUGCUUGAAAUUCUUCCGUGUUGAAUAUCUGCUUAUGGCUGGUUUCUAUUUGAAGUUGCUUUACCAUAGGACUAUGUGAGGCCAAUUCUAUUUUUGAUUCUACUUUUAUGUGAUUACCUCCCUUGGUCGAUUAAGUUCCUCUUCUGUGUUGCUUUGCUUUUGUUGAAUGGGGCUAUUUUCAGAAAUGGUGGUGAAGAUAGUAAAGUGGUGAUGGCUGCUGUGGUCGUCAAGAUGCUAAUGAAUGGUGGAUGAUGAUGUUUGUAGGGAAUUUGCUGGCGACUGAUGAUUGUGGAAUUUGGGUAGUGUGGGUAGAGGCAGUGGACGAUUAGCGAUGGUAUCUGAGGCAAUGGUGAACUGAUGCUAUCCAUGUAUGCUUGCUUUUUCCUUCUCUCGUGACUUGCAGAUUCGAAUCCUUUAUAGGGAUUCAUGCUUCUCUAAUUUGGGAAAUAAUUUCCCCAAAUCUAUGAUUGUGAUUUUAUUUCUUUAUGAAUUGAUUCUCUGCGAUUUGAUUUGCACGAAUUAUGCCUCAAGAUCAAAUCCGAGACUAAAUCACGGGUUUCCUUUUUCACAAUAGUCCCA